This 468-nucleotide ribosomal RNA is filed under the name uncultured bacterium. RNAcentral describes it as "partial 16S ribosomal RNA". It matches the Rfam family "Bacterial small subunit ribosomal RNA", at positions 28 to 507 of the family's 1533-position model. The record is from RNAcentral.
GACGAACGCUGGCGGCGUGCUUAACACAUGCAAGUCGAACGGAAAGGUCCUGCUUUUGUGGGGUGCUCGAGUGGCGAACGGGUGAGUAACACGUGAGUAACCUGCCCUUGACUUUGGGAUAACUUCAGGAAACUGGGGCUAAUACCGGAUAGGAGCUCCUGCUGCAUGGUGGGGGUUGGAAAGUUUCGGCGGUUGGGGAUGGACUCGCGGCUUAUCAGCUUGUUGGUGGGGUAGUGGCUUACCAAGGCUUUGACGGGUAGCCGGCCUGAGAGGGUGACCGGCCACAUUGGGACUGAGAUACGGCCCAGACUCCUACGGGAGGCAGCAGUGGGGAAUAUUGCACAAUGGGCGGAAGCCUGAUGCAGCAACGCCGCGUGCGGGAUGACGGCCUUCGGGUUGUAAACCGCUUUCGCUUGUGACGAAGCGUGAGUGACGGUAAUGGGUAAAGAAGCACCGGCUAACUACGUG